RNAcentral lists this ribosomal RNA (290 nucleotides) under uncultured bacterium. RNAcentral describes it as "partial 16S ribosomal RNA". It matches the Rfam family "Bacterial small subunit ribosomal RNA", at positions 524 to 807 of the family's 1533-position model. The record is from RNAcentral.
UACGUAGGGUGCGAGCGUUAAUCGGAAUUACUGGGCGUAAAGCGUGCGCAGGCGGCGCGUUAAGACAGGUGUGAAAGCCCCGAGCUUAACUUGGGAAUUGCGCUUGUGACUGGCGUGCUGGAGUGUGGCAGAGGGGGGAUGGAAUUCCGACGUGUAGCAGUGAAAUGCGUAGAGAUCGGGAAGGAACAUCAGUUGCGAAGGCGGCCACCUGGACCAGCACUGACACUGAGGCACGAAAGCGUGGGGAGCAAACAGGAAUUAGAAACCCGGUGUACGUCCGAGUACCAAAC